AUGUCAGCCCUGAACCAGGGCCUCGUGCUAGGAAGGCCCACAGUCCGAGGGAGAAGAGGAACCCUUCGGCCUCCCCUCCGGGAACUGGUGGGGGCGCGAGGAUCUUUUCCCCAGCCUGGUCCUGGAGUUGUGGCGCUUCUGUUUGUUGCCUUGGCAACAGGGAGAGGAAACCCUCAUUUAGGAGGCAGGGGAGGCCCCGGCAACCGCGCACACAGAUACACACAGACCGCACGCAGCCGCCCACGCGCCUCUGCCUGCGUCAGCGCCGGGCCGGGGUGGGGGAGCNNNNNNNNNNNNNNNNNNNNNNNNNNNNNNNNNNNNNNNNNNUGCCCCAGGCCCGCAGGUGGCUGGGGCCUCAGGGUUUGUGCUGGCCUAGCGGGGUGGCCUGGCCUCCGCUGGUGGGGUGUUGGGGAUGGAGCUCCGCGGCAGGGCCUGAGGUCAAGGCCAAGAGGAAUGAGGUCCACCCCACAUAGCCCCCAGCCCGUGAGUGGCACAGGACAGCCACUUAGGAAGGGGCGCGGUCUCCACGCAGCGGUGUAACUACCACCUCACGCUGUACUGGAGAGGUCAAGCAGAACCGGAACAUGAUUACCAUCAGGAGGCCGGCAGCAGCUGCAUCUGCGUCAACACAGUCGCGCAGGAAGCGGACCAGCUGACCCAGAUCACGCUGACUAUCCCAGGACCUCACACCGCCCUGCGCUGAGGGCCACCUGUGCCAGAACUGCAGCCACGGGAGUCGGAGUUGUCCAGUCACAGUGCCAUAACCAGGCUGCCGCUGGCCUCCCUGGCCCCAGUGACCCGUCCCUUCUCCACCUGUAAUAAAUGCCAGGUUCUAUGGGCAAAAAAAAAGAGAGGAUGUUUGUUGUAGUGCUGUUUUACACGGUCAGCAAGAUAAUGCAGAUUCCUGCGCCCAGUGAUAGUACCUUUCAGUACUCAGUAGUCAUUCCUGUGCUGCUGGAGCCCCGCCUUCUUGCACUGUACCCUUUAGUGGCUUUCUCUCACCAAGGCCAGCGCCUUUGGUUUUAUUUAAUGAGAUACUGUUGCUAUGUUGCCCAGCCUGUUCUUGAGCUGGUGAGCUCAGGUGAGCCUCCUGCCUUAGCCUCCCGAAUGGCCUCUGACUUCCCCGUCACUUGUCUGGAUGCUGCUGUCUUCUAGGCCUCCAGUCUGGUCAAGCAGCUGGAGGCCUCUUCCUCGUUGGCCCUCAUGCAGACUCCUCCCUCCACCCACACUUUGCAGCCUUGUCCCUCUGCCCUCCUCCUGGCAGGACCAGCUGCACACUCCCUUCUUCCCCUGCUCCGGCACCUCUGCAAGCCUUCCGCCCGGCAUCAGUUCACCUGCGCGCCUCCCACUCGUCCAGCCAAAGUGCCAGGAGACAGGGGCACUUGUCCUGAAUUUGGCAGGCUGCUGGCUCCAAGUUCUGGGCUCCACCUGCUUCUUACUGUCUGCUUUUGGAAAAGUCACCUGUGCCUGUCAAGUGGGGACCCAGUCUGCAGCCCAUGGGGAUGUGUGUGAAAACACAAGGAGAAAGCCUGUAUAAUAACGGGACGUGGUAGUGGUGAAUACCUGUGAAUACCAGCACUUGAGAGGCUGGGGCAGGAGGAUCUCAAGUUCAAGGCCGGUCCAGGCAAUUUAACCAGACUAUCUCAAAAGUAAAUUAGGGCAGGGGAUUUAGCUCAGUGGUGCUGCGUCCUGCCUCACAAGUGCAAGGUCGUAAAUUCAAUCUCUGGUACCAAAUUAAUUAAUUAAUGAAAUAAAAAGUGCUGAGAAUGAAGCUCAGUGGUACAGUGCUCUUGGAUUCAAUCCUCAGUGCCAAANNNNNNNNNNNNNNNNNNNNNNNNNNNNNNNNNNNNNNNNNNNNNNNNNNNNNNNNNNNNNNNNNNNNNNNNNNNNNNNNNNNNNUUUUUUUUUUUUUUUUUUUUUUUUUUUUUUGUACCAGGGAUUGAACUCGGGACCUUGCACUUGCAAGGCAGGCAGCAGAACCUGCUCUUAGUUUUAAUUCUCACAGCACUUAUCACCUUGUAAGAAACUAUAAUUUUACCAGGUGUGGUGGUGCACGCCUGUAGUCCCAGCACUUGGGAGGCUGAGGCAGGAGGAUUGCUGUGAGUGUGAGGCCAGCCUGGGCUACAUAGUGACACCAUUUCAAAACAAAGAACUAACCUAUAAUUUUGCCUCUUGUUGACUAGCUUCACUAGAAUGUGGGCUCCAUGAGUGUAGGCAUUUUUAUGUUUCUGUUCUUGCUGUUUGAGUGCUGGGGAUGGAACCUGGGCCUUGUGCAUGCUGUGCUGAGCUUUACCACUGAACUCCAGCUUGGCCCUGGCUUUUUUUUUUUUUUUUUUCUUAUUGGUACCGAGGAUUGAACUCUGGUCCUUGCACUUGCAAGGCAGGCGGCAGAACCACUGAACUAAAUCCCUGUGUGGCCUGAUUUUUAAUCUGUUUUCUUCACUGCCGCAUCCCUGGUGCCUAGAAGAAUGCCUGGCACACAGCAGGUGUUCAGAAAUACUUGUUAGAGGAGUGACUGCUCUGUGCAUGUGCACUUCUGUAGCAGCCCUAAACCUACCCUCUCCGUGAAACCUUCCUUCACAUGCAUGUUACCUUCUUUGCAGGGACAUCCCCGUUUUACAGAUGAGGAAACUGAGGCUGAAGGACAUGAAAUGACCUCCCUAAAAUCACUCACCCGAAAAGUGGUGGGGAGAUGUGUCAUCUCUUGUGUGCUGUCAGGGGGCUAGGCCUUGGGAACUGAUGACAAGAUUCGAUUCGGUCCUUCCUGUCCCGCACAGCGCUUCCAGGAAGAGGGAUGACAGAGGGAGGCCCAGGAUGUUAAUAUAGCACAGAGGAGCCUCCCCAGCCCCUCAGGUCAUUGUCCUGUAAGCCAAGUGUGCAAACUGUCCCUUAGAUUGAACCACUGUAUUUAUAUUGAACCCAAGGUCUUCAUACCAAGCUACCUGGAUAAACUGCCCAGGCUGGCCUUAAACUUUUUGUUGGCUAUUGUUUGUUUUGUUUUUCAAGACAGGGUCUCGCUACAUAGUUCAGGCUGGUAUUGAACUCACCAUGUAGCCCAGCCUGGCCUCAAACUCACAGCAAUCCUCCUGGCUCAACCUCUGCAGUGCUAGGAUAACAGGCGUCCGCCACCACGCCCCGCUUGGCCUUAAACUUUUGAUCCUCCUGCUUCAGCCUCUCAGAGUGCUGGGAUUACAGGUAUGCACCCCUGAACUGGCUUCAGAUACUAUAUUCUGAGUAUUCAUCAAUGCUGUAGCUCCCAGACUUCUAGAAUCCACUUGGAAUUCACUAUCCAAUGUAGUGCCACGCUGUUCUUUAACCAGUUGGACUUUUUUGCUUCUUCUGUCUUCACCAGUUGAAGGCUUCCUUGAGAGCUAGCAUAGCAG
Molecule: long non-coding RNA, 3383 nt
Organism: Fukomys damarensis (Damara mole-rat)
Lineage: Eukaryota; Metazoa; Chordata; Mammalia; Rodentia; Bathyergidae
Source: Ensembl